GGAGGCCGCAGGGCGGGGGGAGGGGAGGCGGGAGCAGCGCGGCGCCGCCGCUGUCGCCGUCGCGGUCGUCGCCGGGGCGUGCGGCCGGCUGGCGGAGCCGUACGGUCCGGCGCCGCGCGGGCGAGGGCAGGCGGAUGGCCCUGGCACCCGGCGGGCCGCACACCUGGCGGGGCGGGUGGCUCGAUUCGGCUGGGCACGGGACAGCCAACGGCGGUCGCCUUUGCGGUGGCGACCCCGGGGCACGCCGUGACCGCCCGCCUUCGGAGCCGUGAAGGAGUUGCGUUUAGGGAGCUCCCUGUCCCCCGCUGGGGUCUAGGCAGGUCUGUCACGAGAUGAGGCCCCUUCCUCCCACCCCGUGCUGUCUCCCUCGGCGUGGGGAGAAGCGCGCUCUUUUGGGAACGCCGCCUUCCGUAGUCGGCCUCCUACCCAGAGACUUGGUUUGUAACCAUGAAUAUGGUUUCUAGUUUUAGGGUUUCUGAGUUACAAGUGUUACUGGGCUUUGCUGGACGGAAUAAAAGUGGGCGCAAGCAUGACCUCCUGAUGAGGGCGUUGCAUUUAUUGAAGAGUGGCUGCAGCCCUGCGGUUCAGAUUAAAAUUCGAGAAUUAUAUAGACGCCGAUACCCACGGACACUUGAAGGACUUUGUGAUCUUUCCACAAUCAAAUCAUCGGUUUUCAGCUUGGAUGGUAGCUCAUCACCCGUAGAACCUGACUUGCCUGUGGCUGGGAUCCACUCGUUGCCUUCGACUUCAAUUACACCUCAUUCACCGUCAUCUCCUGUUGGUUCUGUACUGCUGCAAGACACUAAGCCCACCUUUGAGAUGCAGCAGCCGUCUCCGCCCAUUCCUCCUGUCCAUCCUGAUGUGCAGUUAAAAAACCUGCCUUUCUAUGAUGUCCUUGAUGUUCUCAUCAAGCCCACGAGUUUAGUUCAAAGCAGUAUUCAGCGGUUUCAAGAGAAGUUUUUUAUUUUUGCUUUGACACCUCAGCAAGUUAGAGAAAUAUGUAUUUCAAGGGACUUUUUGCCGGGUGGCAGGAGAGACUACACAGUCCAAGUCCAGCUGCGACUUUGCUUGGCAGAGACCAGUUGCCCUCAAGAAGAUAACUAUCCCAAUAGUUUGUGUAUAAAAGUCAAUGGGAAACUCUUUCCUUUGCCUGGCUAUGCGCCACCACCUAAAAAUGGGAUUGAACAGAAGCGCCCUGGACGCCCCCUGAACAUUACGUCUUUAGUUAGGUUGUCUUCAGCUGUGCCAAAUCAGAUUUCUAUUUCUUGGGCAUCUGAAAUUGGAAAGAAUUACUCCAUGUCUGUGUAUCUUGUACGACAGCUUACAUCAGCCAUGUUAUUACAGAGAUUAAAAAUGAAAGGUAUUAGAAAUCCUGAUCAUUCCAGAGCACUAAUUAAAGAAAAACUUACUGCAGACCCUGAUAGUGAAAUUGCUACAACUAGUCUUCGAGUGUCCUUGAUGUGCCCUUUAGGAAAAAUGAGGCUGACAAUCCCGUGCCGUGCAGUGACUUGUACACAUCUGCAGUGCUUUGAUGCUGCCCUCUAUCUUCAGAUGAAUGAGAAAAAGCCCACCUGGAUCUGUCCUGUUUGUGACAAAAAGGCUGCCUAUGAGAGUCUGAUACUAGAUGGGCUUUUUAUGGAAAUUCUCAAUGACUGUUCUGAUGUGGAUGAGAUCAAAUUCCAGGAAGAUGGUUCUUGGUGUCCCAUGAGACCUAAAAAAGAAGCUAUGAAAGUAACCAGCCAGCCCUGUACAAAAGUAGAAAGUUCAAGUGUCUUUAGUAAACCUUGUUCAGUGACUGUAGCCAGUGAUGCAAGCAAGAAGAAGAUAGAUGUUAUUGAUCUAACAAUAGAGAGCUCUUCUGAUGAAGAGGAAGACCCUCCCGCCAAAAGGAAAUGCAUCUUUAUGUCAGAAACACAAAGCAGUCCAACCAAAGGGGUUCUCAUGUAUCAGCCAUCUUCUGUAAGGGUGCCCAGUGUGACUUCAGUUGAUCCUGCUGCUAUUCCACCUUCAUUAACAGACUACUCAGUACCAUUCCACCACACGCCAGUGUCAAGCAUGUCAUCAGAUUUGCCAGGAGAACAAAGAAGAAAUGAUAUUAAUAACGAAGUGCAGCUUGGAGCAUCUUCUGAUACUGUGCAACAGUGAAUACAAAAUAAAACAUAAUUUGUAUUUAUGGAUUGGAAAAGAGCUUGAUUCUUUCAAGAAAAAAUAUGUCUGCCUUAUUAUUGUUAGUGCCAUAUUGUCAGGUGUGAAUGGUGCUUAAAAGUUGUAUGAUUAAAAUUUCAAAGUGCUAAAACCUCUACAAACUUAACUAUGUAGCAUUUAUGCUUUGUGAAGUUUAUGACUCAAGUAAGGAAAAUUGUAUGGUUGCUUAAGAGGGGAUGAAAAGCAAGUAAUGAGUCCAGUUUAUUAACAGAGCAUCUAAAAGUUAACAAUCACAACUUCAUUAAUGUUAACUAAAACACCUGAGGCUAUUAGAUUUCUAACAGCACUAUUUUUUUUCUUUAAGUGGAAAAAAAAAGUCAAGAGCAUUUUUAAUUGAAAUACUUGAGGGCAAAAUAUAACCCCCAUCAAUACACUGUUACAGUUGAAACAUGAUAAAAUAAUUUUGCUAUCAACAAGGGAGUAAAAUUUUACUAUUGACGAAACUAUUUCAUAUGCAAAAUAGUGUACUUAAAUGACAUAUGUUGAUGGUAGCCUACUCUUUUAUCAGCAGGAGUGACUUUGAAACACAUGGCAGUGUUUUCCCUGAGGAACAGUCACAUUUAAAUUGUCUGCAUUUGUGAUGCUGGAACGACAAUCUAAAAUUCCAACCAAUCUUUAGAAAAAUGUUUAUACAUCAUAUUAGGGCAUUAUAUAAUUAGUAGUAUAUAUAGUUAUCUGUGGGUGAGAGAGCAAAACAAACCAAAAACAAUUAAAAGCUUUUCUAAAUAGAUUUUACAUUUGUUGGUACACAUGAAGUCAGCAAAGAGAAUCACAGUACAUCUGUAAAGCUGGGUUGGAAUAAGUAAUAUUGGAAGACCUUGGCCCUCAGUGUACGAUCUGUAAUAAUAGAGUAUAGAAACAGUUGGAAUAGUUUAUCAAACUUACAUGUUUACUUAGAGUCAUGACGUGGCAGCAGUUGGACAUUGGGACGAAUGAGCAUUCUCAAAUGAGUUGUUUGAAUUUGUGGUACAUCUUCUGAAAUAGUAAUGCUUUCUUUAGCUUUUAUUUAGCUUAUUAUUAAAAUAGAAUGAGUAACCAACACUACACGUGGCGAGCCAGACAUAGUGACUUCUGCAUAUGAGCCCUGCACUUAGGAAGCAGGGGCAGGAGGUCUGUGAGUUCAGUGUGUCAGCCUGUGCUAUAUCCCUGCCUGACGAAUGAAACCAAACCAACAACAAAAAAGAUUUUAAAAAGGCAGGAACUGAAUCUACGAGAUGACUCAACUAGUUAAGAGCAUUUACGGUUCCUGCAAAGGACCUGAGUUUAUUUUAUAGUACUUGACAGCUCACCAGCACCUUUAACUGCGACUCUAUGGUAUCCAGUGCCCCCUCUUCUGACCACUGUGGGCACCUGUACACAUGUGCAUUGAGUGGACACGCACAUGCAUGCAUACUAAAAAUGUCUUUAAAAAGUAGAAGCUCUUUGUAAAGAUGAACAAAAAAUGUUACACUACUUAGGGCGAAACAACAAUGAAUAAAAUCAACCCAGUUUAUUAAAUGAUAUUCCAAUAAAUCUUGAUGUCUUGAUCAGUGGUGGAACCAUUGACUAUAAAACUCUCAAAAGGUAUAUAAAGGCUAGACAGGCUUGAAUUGGUUUUAAAAGCAGACAGAUUGAUUGAAUAAUUUAAAGUGUUAUCCUUAUUUAAAUAUAUUACCUUCUGGUUAUCAUUUUAAUGGGUAAAUCAUUGCAAUAGUGGAUUAUGAUUUACAUUGUUCAUCAGACUAAACUGAUAUAUCAUGUAGCUAGUAACAGAUUAUGCUAACAAGUUUUUAAAAAUGCUUUAGAAAUUGAGCAAUUCCUUUCAAAUUGCAGGGCUUAUAGCUUGUGUGAUAAGUGUCUAAAAUUCAUUUGUAAAUAAGGAACUAGUGAUACUUUAAAUUUUUUAGUUAAAUUAUUUAUAGUUUUUAUUGAAUGUGUCCAUUAUCUUUCUUACUAAUCUCUAUUUUCAUAGUAAUAAAGUAUUAGACUUUCACUCCACGUGGUUGCUACAUUAAAGCCAGCAUAUAAAAGUUAAUGGGUGCAGGGCAGUGGUGAUGUACAUCUUUAAUCCCAGUGCGUGGGAGGCAGAGGUAUGUGGAUCUCUGGUUGAGGCCAGCUUGGUCUAGAGUAAGUUCCAAGACGCCCAGGUCAGGGCUGCACAGGGUGACCAAAAACCAAUCCAACCAACCAACCAACCAAACAAACAAAGCACUGGAAAGAGAGCGAAAGCAUUGAUGCAUGUUAGGUAUAAGGUUGUUCCAGGCUGAAAACAUAAACAUUUAUGGGAUCAAAUAGACAUUGACCUUUGGCUUGUUUGUUUGUUUGUUGGUUGGUCUUUUUUCUUUUCUUUUCUUUUUUUUUAGACAGGGUCUCACUUUGUGGCCCUGGCUGGCUUGGAACUCAGAGAUCUGCCUGUCUCUGCAUCCCACAUGCUGGGCAACAUUGCCCUAAUUUAAUAGCCUAUACUCAAGUAUUUAGUUCCUUUUUUAAAUGUCUUAAAAUAAUUUAAAGCUUUUGAUUACACAGGGAAGUCUUCAGAUGGUGACUUUUUAAGACUUUUGCUAGACUUUUCAGACAUGAGGUUUUUUUCGUAUACCUUAUUGUUACUUGAGUACUUACAAAGAAAAUCUUUUUCACGUAUCUAUUUUCAAAAUGUAGUUGUAGAAUUUGAGUUUUUUUGUUUAAGGCAUUUUAUUAGCUGAGGACCUAUUAGCUAUAAAGAAACUUGUUGGUGAAUAGCAGCCCCUAAGUGCUUGCUUUGUGCAGAGAGCUCUGUAGAACUCUGACAUGGGAAUGCACAGACAGCUAGCUCCUGAGGAAGUAAAUAGCUGUUAAAGAAUUGGUAUUUUUAGAUUAAUGUGUAUUUCUUUAAAAUAAACACAAAGUGUCUUAACCUAAGAAUGUUUUUUCGUAAUGGUCUAAAGAUUAUUAUGAUUUUGACUGGUUUUUCCUCUGAGUGACAAAAGAGAAAGCCUUGGUUCAAGUAGUCUGGCACUGGAAAUUUUGGGACUGCUGCUUUUGAGUUGUUGUGUUGGGAAGCACUUUUUUCUAGUUGUUUUGGUCAAAAAAAAUGUAUUUGGGUUUUAGAUGCAUUCAAUAUAACCAGCUAUGAUCAUAGAACUUCACUGUGGCAGUGAAAUGAACAUUACCACAGAUGUCUCUUGGCUUAUAAAUACAGAAUGAUCUUGGGAAAUAAUUUCUUGUCUCCAAAAUAUGAGACAACUAUUAACAAAGCAUUUUUGUUUUAGGUUUGGAUUUUCUUUCCCUUAUUCCAGUUGAUCCCCAGUACUGUCCUCCUAUGUUUUUGGAUAGUCUCACCUCACCCUUAACAGCAAGCAGUACGUCUGUCACCACCACCAGCCCCCAUGAAAGCAGUACUCACGUUAGUUCAUCCAGCAGCAGGAGUGAGACAGGGGUCAUAACCAGCAGUGGGAGGAACAUUCCUGACAUCAUCUCUUUGGACUAAAGGCGGACAUACUUGAUUCUGGGAAUCAUUCAUCAAAACUCUUUCUUGGAUGUUUAGUCCAUGGAAGCUGAUUUUUGCAACUUAAUAUUUAUUGAAAUGUCAAAUGGAUUCUUUGCUCUCUGAGAGAUGAACAUCGAUGACUUCAGCAAGAACCAGAUGACAUGCAAGGACUUUUCUUAUGCUGUACAUGGAGCAUCAGAUCUAUCUCAUCCACAACGGUGGCUUGUGGGACAGUUGAUUUCAGUUUCUACGUUACUGGAUGGAUUCUACACACCAGUUAAUCUUUUGUUACAAUAAACAGCAAUAAAGUUAUGUAAAUAGUUAACUUUUCUAAUUAAAGAUGUAAUCACUGAUAUAGACUAACAACAACUUCUGUUUAAUCCAGUAUGAAGGAAAAAUAGAAGAAGUCUUAUUUCCUGAAUGAAUACUUUCUAUGGAGAUUUGUUCUAUUUUGUUGAAGUAAUGAAGUGUCAAUAACUGGCCAGAAUUUGGGUUCUACUUUUCUUCUUUAGGUUUUCUGUUCUUCAUGAUCCCAUCAAAGCAAAUAAUCUUUGUACUGUGCAUUUUUCUCUUGUCGUUUACGCUUUGAUGUUGUUUGCUGAUAUGUGCAGAGUAAAGUGCUGGGACUUGGUUGCUCUUUAUAAUUAUGUUUAAGAAUACUACACAGAUGUUCUGAUAUAAAGUGUUAUUUUAUUUUGGGUUACUAUACAUUCUUGUAGAAUUUUCUGCA
Mus musculus (house mouse) is the source of this 6380-nucleotide RNA transcript. It is a transcript of the gene named protein inhibitor of activated STAT 2, with no coding region annotated. The transcript is spliced from 14 exons. The record is from RefSeq and is marked validated. NCBI's taxonomy places the organism in Eukaryota, Metazoa, Chordata, Mammalia, Rodentia, Muridae.